Molecule: ribosomal RNA, 515 nt
Filed under: uncultured Glomus
Lineage: Eukaryota; Fungi; Glomeromycota; Glomeromycetes; Glomerales; Glomeraceae
Description: SSU rRNA
Rfam family: Eukaryotic small subunit ribosomal RNA
Source: RNAcentral
AGCAGCCGCGGUAAUUCCAGCUCCAAUAGCGUAUAUUAAAGUUGUUGCAGUUAAAAAGCUCGUAGUUGAAUUUCGGGAUCAAUACGUCGGUCGUGCUUCGGUACGUACUGGCGUAAUUGAUUUCUCCCUUCUGACGAACCAUGAUGUCAUUAACUUGGUGUCAUGGGAAAUCAGGACUGUUACUUUGAAAAAUUAGAGUGUUUAAAGCAGGCUCACGCUUGAAUACAUUAGCAUGGAAUAAUGAAAUAGGACGUUCGAUCCUAUUUUGUUGGUUUUUAGGAUCAACGUAAUGAUUAAUAGGGAUAGUUGGGGGCAUUAGUAUUCAAUUGUCAGAGGUGAAAUUCUUGGAUUUAUUGAAGACUAACUACUGCGAAAGCAUUUGCCAAGGAUGUUUUCAUUAAUCAAGAACGAAAGUUAGGGGAUCGAAGACGAUCAGAUACCGUCGUAGUCUUAACCAUAAACUAUGCCGACUAGGGAUCGGAUGAUGUUAAUUUUUAAUGUACUCAUUCGGCGCC